GACGAACGCUGGCGGCGUGCUUAACACAUGCCAGUCGAACGGAAAGGCCCUGCUUUUGUGGGGUGCUCGAGCGGCGAACGGAUGAGUAACACGUGAGUAACCUGCCCUUGACUUUGGGAUAACUUCAGGAAACUGGGGCUAAUACCGGAUAGGAGCUCCUGCUGCAUGGUGGGGGUUGGAAAGUUUCGGCGGUUGGGGAUGGACUCGCGGCUUAUCAGCUUGUUGGUGGGGUAGUGGCUUACCAAGGCUUUGACGGGUAGCCGGCCUGAGAGGGUGACCGGCCACAUUGGGACUGAGAUACGGCCCAGACUCCUACGGGAGGCAGCAGUGGGGAAUAUUGCACAAUGGGCGGAAGCCUGAUGCAGCAACGCCGCGUGCGGGAUGACGGCCUUCGGGUUGUAAACCGCUUUCGCCUGUGACGAAGCGUGAGUGACGGUAAUGGGUAAAGAAGCACCGGCUAACUACGUG
This 468-nucleotide ribosomal RNA is filed under the name uncultured bacterium. Its description in RNAcentral is "partial 16S ribosomal RNA". It matches the Rfam family "Bacterial small subunit ribosomal RNA", at positions 28 to 507 of the family's 1533-position model. The record is from RNAcentral.